RNAcentral lists this long non-coding RNA (253 nucleotides) under Mytilus galloprovincialis (Mediterranean mussel). Lineage: Eukaryota; Metazoa; Mollusca; Bivalvia; Mytilida; Mytilidae. The record is from RNAcentral.
AUUAUCAAAAUCUUAUUUUGCAACCUAUUUUUCUAUUACAGAUGUCCAAGUUGUGAUUUUGCUGCCCUUAUGGACCCUGAAGAUAAAGUAUUUAAAUGUCAUAACCAUUCAUGUUUAAAGGUCAGUUUAUAAUGUCAGUUUAAUUCAUGCCUUAAAGUCUGUAAUGUGAUACCAAUGCAUUCCUCAAGGUCAUUUAUAAUGUCAUACCAAUGAAUGUUUCAAGGUUAUUAUACCCCGCUAUAAAAAGUUGGGG